UCAGUGUUCACAAAGCUUAGAUGCGAAAACCUGCAGCAGAUUUUUACAGAUCGCACUGUCUCAUCGGUUUUUUUUAUUGCUGUUUUUUACACAGAUGAAUAGCACCUAUUUAGAUCGCAUGUUUGAAAACAGCUAUUAACUUUUCGUAACAGAACAUUUCUGGGAUUGUUUGCUACUUGGGAUUUACAGUUGUACAUCAAACUCCAAAUGAUAAUCUGUUUGGUGAAUAUUCGCGUCAGGGAAUAGCAGCUGGAAAAGAGAAAUACAAUGGGGAAACUCCAGUCAAAACACGCAUGCAAGCGCAGAGAAAGUCCUGAAGGAGACAGUUUUGUUGUAAACGCGUACAUCACUCGGAGAGGUUUGGAGGAGUGUGACAAAUACAACGGAGUCGAGAACAGAAUCAGAGAUAGACAGAUGAUGGCACAUUUGACAUAAGGGUGCCUUCCUUAAGUGAUGCUGGUUUAUCCUGGCAAUCUUGGAACCACCUUCUGUCACAGUUGUGGGAGUUAAAAAUUAAAAAGGCCCACUUUCUUUGCAAACAAAGUGAUUUCAGAACAAAUUUCUAUAUUCAAAUAAUCUUUUGGACUGAACUUUGAGUACUACCCCUGCAUGCCCACAAAAACUUCUGUGAAUGUGCACCUGGCAUAUUUUGUGGAUUACUGUUUCUCCAAAAUGGCGCAGUCUUCAAAAGACUCAUCAUAUGUUGGUGUCACCAUUGGUAAAUAAAGCAAGUGUUAAUUAAAUCCUAAGGAACCAACAGGGAAUGUCAGAUAUAGUGAAAAGCAGUACAGUUUAGGAUAUGCUGUAUUUUCUCUUAAGCUUGUGGUUCAGGAACACUUCAAUUGCAUUUCAUCCAUCUCCUUCGUGCUAAAAGGGCACAAUUCAAACAGCAGCUGAAAGCUAUUACAGUUGAACAUGUACAGUACUGUGCAAAAGU
Acipenser ruthenus (sterlet) is the source of this 937-nucleotide long non-coding RNA. RefSeq lists it as uncharacterized. The transcript has 4 exons. NCBI's taxonomy places the organism in Eukaryota, Metazoa, Chordata, Actinopteri, Acipenseriformes, Acipenseridae. The record is from RefSeq and is a predicted model, not a curated record.